This is a long non-coding RNA of Leopardus geoffroyi (Geoffroy's cat), 2460 nucleotides long. RefSeq lists it as uncharacterized. The record is from RefSeq and is a predicted model, not a curated record. Lineage: Eukaryota; Metazoa; Chordata; Mammalia; Carnivora; Felidae. The transcript has 2 exons.
GAUUAUGCAUAAAGCUGCUAUGAACAUUCAUGUACAAGUCUCUGUGUGGACAUAUGCUUUCAUUUCUCGUGGAUAAUACAUAGGAGCAGAAUUUCUGGAUUAUGUAAAAAGUGAAUGCUUAACUGUAUAUAAGCAACUGCCAGACUGGCUUCCAAAGUAGCUGUACCAUUUUACACUCCCACCAGCAGUGUAUGAGAGUUCCAGCUACUCCACAUUCACUCAUACUUGGUGCUGUGAUUCUUUCUAAUUUUAGCCAUUUUAAUAGGUGUGUAGUGCAAUCUCACUGUGGUUUUAAUUUGCUUUUCCCUGAUGACUAACGGUGUUAAGCAUUUUUUUAUAUGCUUGUUAGCCUUUAUAUUUGCUUUAGUGAAGUGUCUGUUUAAUCUCCUGCCUAUUUUUAAUUGGGUUUUUGUCUUAUUAUUGAGUUGUGAGUGCUCAUUAUAUAUUUUAGGUACAAGUCCCUUAUCAGGUUUUUGUAUUGUAAAUAUUGCCUCCUAGUCAGUGGUUUACUUUUCCUUAUUAUAAUGGUACUUUAGAAGAGCAGAAGUUUUAAAUUUUGAUGAAAUUCAAUUUAUCAGUUUUUUCAUUUAUGGUUUGUAUUUUGUGUCCUAAGAAAUCUUUGCUUUCCCAAAGUCAUAGUUUCUUGUUAUGUUUUCUUCUAGAAGAUUAAUUGUUUAGCUUUGACAUUUCAGCAUAUGAUGUUUUCAUUGUGAUUAUGAUUAAUUUUUAUACAAAGUUUGAGGUAAGGGACAAGGUUUAUUGGGUUUUUUUUUUUUUCUGUAUGAAUAUCCAGUUGGAACACUUCCACUUACUGGGGGAAAGAAAACUUUUUCACUAUUGGAUUACUGUGAUGCCUUUGUCAAAAUCUCCUGACAUUAUAUAUGUUGGUCUGUUUCUGGGUCACAUGUUCUAUUCCAUUCAUCUAUGUAUCCAUUCUUAUACCAAACCUACACUGUCCAAUUUAUGUAGCUUCAUGGCAAGUCUUUAAAUCAGAUAAAGUAAUUUCUCCAACUUUUUCAUCUUUUACAAAUGAAGAAAGCCAAUUUGAUUUGAUUUCAGAACAACCUGUUGGCCAACAACAACCUCACAGAUACAAUUCUGAAUGAUACGCACACUACCACCAAUUUCAAAUACUUUUCUACCCCAAAUUAAGUUUCUUCAUUCAACGUAAGCAUUACUUCUACUUCAAUACGGUGCUCUGCCAAAACUUAUAUUUGUAUUAUCACCAGAAACAUGAAUUAUUUUACCUAUAGUGAUCAACUUUUUAACUAAAUCUAUGAUAACAUUCACAAUAAUGGAAGAAAUGGCAGAUGUUUCACCUUUGACCGAAUGAACUUUCAAAUAGUUUGCUCUUUUAUUUUAUGAAUUGAAUGUAAAAGUGGAACCACUAUUGAAAUCAAUUGAAUUGAGUUUCUAUUUGAAAUAUCUGAUAUAAUGCAUAUAAAUCAGGCAUCAUUUAACUAUUUGCAAACUUCGGCUGCUGCUAAUGGAGACAAUACAUUAACAGCUUUGGCUUUAUUUCUUGUAAAUGCACAAGAAAAAAAUAUAUAUUGGGUAUCUGUCGUGUACCACUUCAGAUUAUCUCAGCCUCCCCGGUUCCACUUGGUUUUCCCACUGGUGCAUCCUAAAAGUCUUUCACCUCAGCUCUGUAUCUUCGGUUUGGAUUUCUUUGUGUUCCAGAGCUUCACUGCAAGACACCUUGCAGAAUAUUUCACAUACAUAUACAACCUAGAAGUAAGGUAAUGGCUCCUGGAAGGAACUUGUAACCAAUGGGUCGGCUGUUGAAUGCUACCCCUUUCUUCAUCUGAAGGACUGUCUUGGAAUGUGUUUAAUAUGGCUCUUCAGGCAGCUGGUGGAUCGAACAGACACCCCCAAGAGAUCACCCAAUUCCAGAACUCCCAUGGGAUCAGUUGAGGCUUCUGCUGCACCUGCAUCACAAUUCAAUUUUCCUACUGCCCAAUCCUGCUUCCCUUGCUCCCUCACAGGUGCUGUUCCCAAUAACGCCCUGGAGGCAAACCUACAUCUCAGAGUCUAUUCUUCAAAAAUCCAGCCUAAGCUGCCAAAAGGUUUUUUUUUUUUUUUUUUUUUUUGCAACAUUUUAAAAAAGCAUUACCAAACAAUGAAAUAAAUGCUAUUUUCAUCAUGCAAUAAAUAAUAAAACCUCUGUACUGAAAGUGUUCAGUCUAUUCUGUAUUCACUUUUUGGUAUGACUGCUCAGCCUGUAUUUCCUGCACAUGUUUCAUGUAUACCUAACCCAUAAUCUCCCCAUUUCUCUCUGACUCAGCCCACUGAUGGUCUGGCAGGUGUACCAAGAGGCCAGCAGGAGCAGUACCAUUGACUGUCUCCCCCACAGUCACUGGAGAUAGAAGGAACUAGCUGUCAUUACUGAUCCCAUCUGAGGACCACUUUGGUUUUUAUCGAUAAGCACUCUGCACACUUUCCUUGAAAAGAAGAUGGGGG